GACGAACCGUCCGAACGUUAUUCGGAAUCACUGGGCUUAAAGGGUGCGUAGGCGGCGCGGAAAGUUGGGUGUGAAAUACCUCGGCUCAACCGAGGAACUGCGCCCAAAACUACCGUGCUCGAGGGAGAUAGAGGUGAGCGGAACUUAGGGUGGAGCGGUGAAAUGCGUUGAUAUCCUAAGGAACACCGGUGGCGAAAGCGGCUCACUGGAUCUCUUCUGACGCUGAGGCACGAAAGCUAGGGGAGCGAACGGG
This 253-nucleotide ribosomal RNA is filed under the name uncultured bacterium. RNAcentral describes it as "partial 16S ribosomal RNA". It matches the Rfam family "Bacterial small subunit ribosomal RNA", at positions 524 to 776 of the family's 1533-position model. The record is from RNAcentral.